UUGUAGGCGUGACCGUCCUC
This 20-nucleotide unclassified non-coding RNA is filed under the name Chlamydomonas reinhardtii. RNAcentral's name for it is "small RNA Cre_4043". The record is from RNAcentral. Lineage: Eukaryota; Viridiplantae; Chlorophyta; Chlorophyceae; Chlamydomonadales; Chlamydomonadaceae.